Molecule: ribosomal RNA, 402 nt
Filed under: uncultured Acetobacteraceae bacterium
Lineage: Bacteria; Pseudomonadati; Pseudomonadota; Alphaproteobacteria; Acetobacterales; Acetobacteraceae
Description: partial 16S ribosomal RNA
Rfam family: Bacterial small subunit ribosomal RNA
Source: RNAcentral
UGGGGAAUAUUGGACAAUGGGCGCAAGCCUGAUCCAGCAAUGCCGCGUGAGUGAAGAAGGUCUUCGGAUUGUAAAGCUCUUUCGACGGGGACGAUGAUGACGGUACCCGUAGAAGAAGCCCCGGCUAACUUCGUGCCAGCAGCCGCGGUAAUACGAAGGGGGCUAGCGUUGCUCGGAAUGACUGGGCGUAAAGGGCGCGUAGGCGGUUUGUACCGUCAGAUGUGAAAUUCCCGGGCUCAACCUGGGGGCUGCAUUUGAUACGUACAGACUAGAGUGAGGAAGAGGGUUGUGGAAUUCCCAGUGUAGAGGUGAAAUUCGUAGAUAUUGGGAAGAACACCGGUGGCGAAGGCGGCAACCUGGUCCUUGACUGACGCUGAGGCGCGAAAGCGUGGGGAGCAAACA